AGUAACGCGUGAGCAACCUGCCUAUGACAUUGGGAUAGCCUCGGGAAACCGGGAUUAAUACCGCAUAAAAUCGUAGAAACACAUGUUUUAGCGGUCAAAGAUUUAUCGGUCAUAGAUGGGCUCGCGUCUGAUUAGCUAGUUGGUGAGAUAACAGCCCACCAAGGCGACGAUCAGUAGCCGGUCUGAGAGGAUGAACGGCCACAUUGGAACUGAGACACGGUCCAA
RNAcentral lists this ribosomal RNA (225 nucleotides) under uncultured Eubacteriales bacterium. RNAcentral describes it as "uncultured Clostridiales bacterium partial 16S ribosomal RNA". It matches the Rfam family "Bacterial small subunit ribosomal RNA", at positions 109 to 334 of the family's 1533-position model. Lineage: Bacteria; Bacillati; Bacillota; Clostridia; Eubacteriales. The record is from RNAcentral.